ACAUACCUAAAACGUUGCUUCGGCGGGAACAGACGGCCCUGUAACAACGGGCCGCCCCCGCCAGAGGACCCCUAACUCUGUUUUUAUAAUGUUUUUCUGAGUAAACAAGCAAAUAAAUUAAAACUUUCAACAACGGAUCUCUUGGCUCUGGCAUCGAUGAAGAACGCAGCGAAAUGCGAUAAGUAAUGUGAAUUGCAGAAUUCAGUGAAUCAUCGAAUCUUUGAACGCACAUUGCGCCCGCCAGUAUUCUGGCGGGCAUGCCUGUUCGAGCGUCAUUACAACCCUCAGGCCCCCGGGCCUGGCGUUGGGGAUCGGCAGAAGCCCCCUGUGGGCACACGCCGUCCCUCAAAUACAGUGGCGGUCCCGCCGCAGCUUCCAUUGCGUAGUAGCUAACACCUCGCAACUGGAGAGCGGCGCGGCCAUGCCGUAAAACACCCAACUUCUGAAUGUUGACCUCGAAUCAGGUAGGAAUACCCGCUGAACUUAAGCAUAUCAAUAAGCGGAGGA
RNAcentral lists this ribosomal RNA (507 nucleotides) under Fusarium sp. PVF13. RNAcentral describes it as "eukaryotic LSU rRNA". The stretch from base 122 to 275 matches the Rfam family "5.8S ribosomal RNA". RNAcentral also lists the same sequence under 1 other name. The record is from RNAcentral. Lineage: Eukaryota; Fungi; Ascomycota; Sordariomycetes; Hypocreales; Nectriaceae.